GCAGUUUCUUCUUAGCCUAAGAAAUUGACUUCUGGGGAUGUUUUUCAGCCAAAUUGGUGAGCACUCCCUCACACCACUCACAGUUCCAUCUAUAUCAUCAGGAUCUCUCCCUCCUUCUACAGCAUCAUCAGCUGCCAAAUGAAAUGUUCCCCGAACACAUCCACUCAACAUUGUGCAUCCCUGGGAUACUUCACUGGACUUCACUCCACACCCACUAGUUCCUUUUCUGCCUUCCUAAUAAUGAAGGAACAAGGGAAAA
Hyla sarda is the source of this 259-nucleotide long non-coding RNA. RefSeq lists it as uncharacterized. The record is from RefSeq and is a predicted model, not a curated record. Lineage: Eukaryota; Metazoa; Chordata; Amphibia; Anura; Hylidae. The transcript has 3 exons.